AGGCGCUUGCUGAAGGCCUGUUGCCUAGGCUACAAACGGGGGACGUGUUCCCCACCCUGCGCCUAGGGGAAAGUCCCCGGACCUCUGGCAGAAAGUGCCACGCGCGCAUGUGCGUUUGGCCGCUGUCGUAGCUCUUGUAUUCCCCGCCAAGAAGCACCUCUACGCUGGUGGAAGCGCUGAGCGGAAGGAGCGCGGCGAGGCCGACCUUAGUCAAGAAAAUAGUUACGCAGGCAGUGUGCACGAGGCGCACUAACUGAACGGGGCUCAUUCUCAGCGCGUC
This 280-nucleotide RNase MRP RNA is filed under the name Phascolarctos cinereus (koala). Its description in RNAcentral is "RNase MRP (ENSPCIG00000021672.2)". It matches the Rfam family "RNase MRP". From Rfam's summary of the family: RNase MRP is an enzymatically active ribonucleoprotein with two distinct roles in eukaryotes. Lineage: Eukaryota; Metazoa; Chordata; Mammalia; Diprotodontia; Phascolarctidae. The record is from Rfam by way of RNAcentral.